CCUACGGGUGGCAGCAGUGAGGAAUAUUGGUCAAUGGGAGGAAUCCUGAACCAGCCAUGCCGCGUGCAGGACGACGGCUCUACGAGUUGUAAACCUCUUUUGUCGGGGAGCAAAGAGAGUCACGUGUGACUCAUUGAGAGUACCCGAAGAAAAAGCAUCGGCUAACUCCGUGCCAGCAGCCGCGGUAAUACGGAGGAUGCGAGCGUUAUCCGGAUUUAUUGGGUUUAAAGGGUGCGCAGGCGGAGGUGCAAGUCAGCGGUCAAAUUGCGGGGCUCAACCCCGUACUGCCGUUGAAACUGCAUCCCUUGAGUGCGCGAGAAGUAUGCGGAAUGCGUGGUGUAGCGGUGAAAUGCAUAGAUAUCACGCAGAACUCCGAUUGCGAAGGCAGCAUACCGGCGCGCAACUGACGCUCAUGCACGAAAGCGUGGGUAUCGAACAGGAUUAGAUACCCUUGUAGUC
This 459-nucleotide ribosomal RNA is filed under the name uncultured bacterium. RNAcentral's name for it is "partial 16S ribosomal RNA". It matches the Rfam family "Bacterial small subunit ribosomal RNA", at positions 338 to 795 of the family's 1533-position model. The record is from RNAcentral.